RNAcentral lists this small nuclear RNA (293 nucleotides) under Erinaceus europaeus (western European hedgehog). RNAcentral's name for it is "7SK RNA". It matches the Rfam family "7SK RNA", at positions 1 to 289 of the family's 331-position model. Rfam says of the family: 7SK was discovered as an abundant small nuclear RNA in the mid-70s but a possible function has only recently been suggested. Two independent studies have found that 7SK RNA binds the CDK9/cyclin T complex (known as elongation factor P-TEFb). Lineage: Eukaryota; Metazoa; Chordata; Mammalia; Eulipotyphla; Erinaceidae. The record is from Rfam by way of RNAcentral.
GGAUGUGAGGGUGAUCUGGCUGCCACAUCUGUCGCCCCAUUGAUCGAUCGUCAGGGUUUAUUCGGCUGAUCUGGCUGCCUAGCCAGGUGUCCCCUUCCUCCCUCACCGCUCCACAUGCGUCCCUCCCAACGCUGCUGUACGCUCCGUUGAAGAGGACGGCCUUCCCCAAAUAGUGACGGACCGGUCUUCAGUCCAGGAUAUAUAAGUAGUUGUGCUCCCCUGCUAGAACCUCCAGACAAGCUCUCAAAGGGCCACCAGACACGUGGGGGAAAAUAACGCUCCCAGUCCCUAAU